UUUGCUGCGGCGGGAACACUAAAGGUACUGUGAGGAGGAGUUAUAAUUUGGAAAUGUUAACUGAGGAUUCUCUUCGAAUUUGGAGUCAAAAGCUUCAAGAGUUCAUUGAUUCACUUGGUCGGCCAAAGAGACUUUUUGUGUUAGUGAAUCCUUAUGGCGGAAAGAGAUCUGCAUCAAAGAUUUUUAUUGAUAGUGUAAAGCCACUACUUGACGAUGCAAAUAUCGACUAUACAGUGCAAG
This 240-nucleotide unclassified non-coding RNA is filed under the name Hevea brasiliensis (rubber tree). The record is from RNAcentral. Lineage: Eukaryota; Viridiplantae; Streptophyta; Magnoliopsida; Malpighiales; Euphorbiaceae.